UGUACGUAGGAACAAAAUGUACGUAGGAACAAAAUGUACGUAGGAACAAAAUGUACGUAGGAACAAAAUGUACGUAGGAACGAAAUGUACAUAGGAACGAAAUGUACAUAGGAACGAAAUGUUCAUGAACAGGUUUCUUAUCAUAGUUCAAACUACUCUGAAAAUGUUCAUAUGCGCUGUAAUAGCAUUAUAAUGCUUAUGACGCCCAGCAUUCAUUGUUGGUAUCGAUGGCUCACAACUGUACACGGUAACUGAAGUAAAGACUUUCUGCGCCGCCUGUUUUCAUUUAUAGUCGGGCCUCCGUGCCAUAAGGUCUUGAUGUAGCUUUGUCGGUACGUUUCUAGAAUGAACCGAGGUUUUCACGGUACGCCUCUAGAAUGAACUGAAAUAUGCUUUUCGGUCUAAUAAUAACAUAGGUUAACGCGAAGCACCAUAGACCAUAGUAUAUAAAGCAUUAGAUGCAGUAGAUUCAGUCCAAGUGCAACUUUCUCUGCUAGAUUUUACCACGGGAUAACAUAGUGGGAAAAGGCGGUAGAUAGAAUUUGCCGGGAUUGCUAAUAUACAGGACCUGGAUGCUAAAGGAUGAUUCUAUAGCACGGCGCACAAGGCACAACGGACGUACAGGGUACGACGUUCCGAAAGCCGUUACGGUUAAAUCUUUCCGCAUGUGUUGAUAAUUCACCCUUAACGUUUGGAACGCAUUUAAAAAGACCCUUGCUGAUGCAACUGGAAAAAACGUCAGAGUUGGAAACGCGUUACAAUUCGUCCACUGAUUCAACUGGAAACAAUGUCAAAGUAAAUUCGCUCAUCCAACGGAAAAAGUGUGAGGACCCCUUCGAACUUUUUGUGUAUUGUGACUACCAGCAGUGAUCCGUGUGCAGUUCAUCAAGUCUUUCAGCUCGUCUUUCUAUGUUUGUGUAACUCCGACCAGUCAAGCAGAAGGCGAUGCUGCGAUUUUAAUGAUACUGUCACCAAUUGCCACCACAUCGACUGUUCUUUAUGUUACUAUCCGACCCGCUCGAUUGACAAUCGUUCCUUCGUUCGUCAUCCAGCUUUUCCGUAUUAGUCUCAGCAUAACAACCCUUGACUCUAUUGAACGCGUCAAUCAAGCUCCAACAGCACCAAGGUUAAAUAGCGAGUUCCGUCGGCAUCCUGUGUUAGUCAGUCUUUUGACUCUUCUCCGGUAUGUCCACAUACGUAUCAUGAUAAAUAUCUCCUGUAGCUAUCACGAUACGAAGCGUAUUUUGGCAAGUUGGCACUCGUCCGCCGUACAAUCAGACACUCCAGUGAUGGGAGUCACAUGACCAACAGCAUAAACUGUCGCUUCCCGUAACAGCGACUUCCUUUGUAAUAGAGCCACGUUGCAAAGGCGAUAGUAGUUAUUAAUGCUAGUGCCUAGUAUCCUUAUGGCUCACAACGUGAUACGUCUCUUAACACGCUCCAUGUUUCACCUAAUGGUCACUCGUAGUGUCGAUUGGUUGCUACGUCGGCAAGAUGCAAUGGUUGGCAGGUGCCAAGGGUCCUUCGACAGAGUGCGCAUCAUACUGCAGGCAGGGUUUGAGGAUACGGGGAACAUAAAAAUCUACUGAGUUCUAUCUAGGUCAGAUGUCCUCGUUUUCUCCGGUGGGUGUCGCAUAUGUAAGUGUGCUGUGGCGCUUAACCGUGUGAACAAAGCAAUACAUGUACAGUUGUUUUUAUCCUUAGCUACAUGAAAGAAUGGAUAUCGGGUGGCGCCGCUUUACAACACAACUUCACAAGUAAUACAUCACCCAGGCUACUAUUUAUAAAUAGCAAAGAGAACAAAGAGAAGGCGGAUUUUAUGUGCAUGGUUCAUCUAAUGGAAGCUGCUUUUACAUUGAGACCGCUACAAAUUAUCGACUGAAACCAUCGAAGAAUCUUAUCUUACGAGGCCUAGAGGAAUUGCUCAUAAAUGUCAAACUUACCGCAGGCGAGUGUUCAAAUUGAGUGACGUAUAUCUACUUCUUUAGGACCGUCGCUGCCGCAUGAACUCCUCAGCGAUUCAUCCUUGUCUUGAGCUUUCAUGGAGACCGGCUUUAUAAUUAACUGUCAUUGAACGAGCCGAACCGGAAAGACCAUACUUGCUAAUAUGCAAUAUUAAUUUGCCUUUUCAUCCAUCCGUAAAACUAACUCAAAAGUUACGCAAGAUCUUUGAGUUCAAAACCCGUUAAAAUACCGGUAUCAAAAUAUGAACAGGCAGGUGCAAAACUGAUCGGCACUUAAUUCAUAAUGCGUUUCGUGCCAGUUAUAAGCGCUUGCCAUUGACCUUCGUCCUAUUGUCCGGCAUCUUGCUCAAUCCCUAUACUUCGUACUUGGAUACUCUAGCCACCGUUACCUGAACAGUUAUUUGGCAAGUACAAAGCUUCGAGUCUGCAGAAAUGACUCCUUCUCGUUAAUCAGCAAAGAUAAUUACAUCUCGGGAUCUAGUUGUUCGAUUAGUGCAAGUUUUAACCUCCGGCUUGGCGAUUCGUGAUCCCACCAAAGUGUACAGUACGCGUAGCUGUAUCGAUAGGCCAGUAGUCCAGGUCGAGUGUGAUAUCGGCGAUUCUCAAGAGCAAAUCCUCUAUAGCUUAUUCUGCCGUAACGUCCCCAGUGAAUAGCGCGUUCAUUUAAAGCUAAAUACCAAAUGUCAUGUCGAAUCGCCUCAAGUCGCAUUGGAAAGCAUUUAUUGCACUAUACCUCUACAUCGUCAUUGGCCAUUCAAUGAAAGCAAGCGACUACCUCACAACUAAAUAGCAAAGUGCGUAAUGAUAACACGGCAUGAUAAUCGGCAGAAGUAUGAAAAAUUCAUCCAUCGUUGAGCCUGUUCUCAGCUUAAUCUAACCAACAUUGCGUGUCCUACCUGGAUUAUGGUACCAUGGCUAGCACAAUUGCGGAAAACCAUUUGGCUACCAUUGAUGAACUCCUUAUGUUCAACAGAUACGAGAUGAGCUACCUUACAAUUGAGUGAAUAGUAGGCCAUCACCAUACCGGCUUUCGCUACUCGUGUGAUGCGGAAGCACGCAUGCUAACGUCAGACGACGAUUAGUCAUAUACCGUUUGUGCAUUACUGGUUUGUUCGAGUCAAGUAUCGAACGAAUCAGGCAUUGAGCAGUCUGAAGAGACAGCGAAAGGCAACUGCGUCGCUGACAUACGGGAUAGUAUCGUUUGCAAAAUAGUAUUUUCCAAGCAGAUCAUAUUCAAGCAUAUAUAUGUAUGAGGGGAGAGGAAGUGUAUAUAUAUAUAUAUAUAAAGGGGUAAGAUAUAUAAGUGUAUAUAUAUGUGGGGAGGGGGGGGGGUAAGGUAGCGAGUAGGUAGAAUGGGUGUAUUGUGCUUUGUGCGGAAUCUACCGUUAGAAUCCGUUUUUCAUAGGUAUGUUUUCAUUGGACCGUCGGAGAUUCAAGAGGAGAGACACCGCUGCGAAUUUGAACCCAGCUACACGAGUGCUUGCUGAAGUAACAGCAUAGGUACAAUACCAGAAAAACAAACGCAAAAUUAAUGCGAAAAGCAGGUAAUCCCUGUUCAAAAAAAAAAUAGAUACCAGCGCUGCAUCUUGGAACGUUUCGCGAUGUGGACGUAUCAGUCAGUCCUCCCGAGUUAGAGAAACUGUUCGUUCCGUCGUAAUUCGCUGUCAUCCCUAUGGAUGAACUGUAGAUGAAUGAAUCUCGAUCUACGUGAUCUUUCGACUUGCAUGAUCCGAGUGUCGAGGCUACGACGCGUAACCGCCGCGUAAGAUUGUCUUUUGAAGCGUUACUGGCGAAACCAGUAAUUUACUUAGUUAACUUGCCACAUCUAAUCAGACUGCCAACUGUGUAAUGUACGUACCACUGCCGAGGUCUGGAGCUACAGUCUGGGGAUGUCGCACUGGAGGUGCCAGUCGCCCGCGGAGGUAUCUAAAGGUUUCGAAGACUGAAGCAAAUGCCCGCUUGAUAAACACAGCGUUUAAGUGAACGGUUACAUAAGUGAAAAUACGGUGGGUUGUAAGUACCGCGUGACUGUUCCGGGAUCCGAUUAGGAGCAAUCGCAAAUUUCUCACCCACAGGACGUUUGACGAGACGGAAGAGGCUCUUAACAAAACAAGCGUACACACGAAUAACUCAGGGUUCCGAAGUAGUGUCGAUGACGUUCUUCUGCCGACGUUUUUUAUGGGCAUCUCUUGGCGCUUUUGCCUCAUAGUUCCACAUCUACAACUACCCAUCUACAAACAGAGUGAUUGGUUACGUACUCAACGUAUUCUUCUACGUACUUCUCCAUUAGCCAUCCGUGAUCCGUCAACGUAAUCAGCUCAGCUAUAUUUCUCAAUAGAAGCAAGACGCUUCCAUAAACCAGUGUUUCGUUCACUGUGUGAUUCGGCUGUUUAUCAAAAACUCGCUUAUUACGGGGUAACAUUGACGCUGCACGAUAAGCGUAGAAAAUCCUAAGUUAACUAGUAACGUUCUCAACCAAAUCACAGCAAACCAUUUCCAAGAAACUUUUUUGUACGUUUCAAUCUUCUGUUGCUCUGCUUCCAACAAGGCAGUUUCCCGAAGCCAAUCAUCAAACAUAAGACAACAGUAAACAGAGUGGUUGCUAUUUACCAAACAGUUAGUCAGACCAUGCUAGAUGGCAGGCAGUGGAAGGGCUAUAUCGCAAAGGCAUUGACAGCUGCCCUUGGAGCUGCUGUUAUUUUGUUUAGUGUCCAGUUCCUUUCACAACAACCGAGCCGAGUGAGAAAGGUGCAGCCCCUCGAGCGUUGGCAUUUAACGACUUUGUACAGAGGGAGGCAGCAUCGUCUCAGCUCUUCUGUAGCCACGAGGGUCUAUCACGAGACUGAGCGGAGAGGGACAUAGUGGUCAGCUGUGCCUCAUACCACGGGUAAGCCGAAGCGCUGGCUAACUGCCUAGUUGUCUUGGCUUACCAUGCCACGUCAUCGAUAGGAAUUAUCGCUAAGCCACGAGAGACCAUCGCGGCUGGCUGCGAGUCCGUUAGGGUUGCUGCUGCUCCUGCUUGCCAUGCACUAUGGCUUCGUUCGCAGCCAUCAGUGGUGCUCGGUAGUAGCAGCUCCAGCACAUUUCGGCUUUCGUCGUAAUGCCAGCAUGUAUAUCCCAAAUGGCCCGAAUCGGGCCGAGACAAACCUAGCUUGGCCCCUCUUAGCAAGCUCAAGCAGCUUCACCUCAAUAUAUUAUCUACGUAUGUGGAUCUAUUGGAGGAGUUAGAGGACGAAGAGUGAGACGACGUUACAUACCGAAACGCCAUCGGUGGUCUUCCCGUCGUCUUCUGACGAACAUGAUCCUUCUAAACUCUAGGAGUGUCAGUAUUAUUGUACUGAUAUAAGUGCAAUCACUAUUAUGCCAUUAGGUUGACGACAGUGUACCAAUGGGUUCACGAUGUUGUUGCCAUUGGGAACGAGAACGGGCCACAGCGAAACACUACGGACUGAUGUUGAAACUGCCAUUGUAUGCAUGCGAAGUAUUUAGUCGUGUCAUGAGAAUACCGUAAAUCAGUCAAUUGAUUGAUAUAUAAAACAGAUAAUUGACGGUUCAAAUUUAUUAGCUGUGUGGCUUUUUCUUUGACUGAAGCCAAUGGGAAAACGAAUCAAAUGAAUACAAUGUACUAACUAUUGUAUUUGCCUGUACAAAGAAACAACAGAACUAACGUCGAUAUUACGAGAGCUGUUAUUUCGAGUCCGGCUUUCAGCUGACGGAACUGAAAUUGAAGUCAAACCAAAGCCACUGUUUGAUAAACGGGUACAAAGAUUAUACUGCCGAAUGGUAUACGACGUAGCUUAUUUUCAAGGCUGUGAUCAUUACUUUCAUGUUUCAGGGUUUUUGUUGUCAUUGCAUGAACAGAUUUCAAAAACUACAAAUGUGAAUAUAUAUAAAUUUUAAUUUAAACCUAAAUCUCGCCCCUCAACGACUCAAUGCCCUUAACUUUGGGACAUUGUAAUGUGAGGUGUAACUGUCGCGUACAGCGUAGCAACCUUACGAUAUAUCACGGUAUUCUGUUACAGUUCAAGGUACUACAUUCACAAUGUGACCCAUCUAUAAAACUACGUUUGCACAUUAAUCUAGUCAUCUAACCUCACGAGAGGUGUUAGUUGCUUUCUGUACAUUUAUCUAUCUAUAAAUAAAACCUGGAGUAUAAGCCUCUUUUGUAAAUUUAAA
This 6140-nucleotide long non-coding RNA is filed under the name Varroa destructor (honeybee mite). RNAcentral's name for it is "uncharacterized LOC111255081, transcript variant X1". The record is from RNAcentral. Lineage: Eukaryota; Metazoa; Arthropoda; Arachnida; Mesostigmata; Varroidae.